UUAGUUAUGUUCUUUGUCUAUUAUAAAUGGACAGCUAAUACCUGUCCGUAUUAGUAUAAAAUUUUUCCGACUUAAACCAAAUUCUGCAGAAUAUUAAAGCUAAAAACAGAAAUAAAAAGAACAAUAAAUCACACCAUGAUUUUUACGUGGUUCAGCCCCUAUCCUCUACUCUAGUGGUCUAAUCCACGUCCAAUCACAACUAGGAUUGGAGACUCA
RNAcentral lists this long non-coding RNA (216 nucleotides) under Panax ginseng (ginseng). RNAcentral's name for it is "long non-coding RNA (PGIN_LNC001578)". The record is from RNAcentral. Lineage: Eukaryota; Viridiplantae; Streptophyta; Magnoliopsida; Apiales; Araliaceae.